RNAcentral lists this ribosomal RNA (1407 nucleotides) under Lactiplantibacillus plantarum. RNAcentral's name for it is "bacterial SSU rRNA". It matches the Rfam family "Bacterial small subunit ribosomal RNA", at positions 61 to 1433 of the family's 1533-position model. The record is from RNAcentral. Lineage: Bacteria; Bacillati; Bacillota; Bacilli; Lactobacillales; Lactobacillaceae.
GUCGAACGAACUCUGGUAUUGAUUGGUGCUUGCAUCAUGAUUUACAUUUGAGUGAGUGGCGAACUGGUGAGUAACACGUGGGAAACCUGCCCAGAAGCGGGGGAUAACACCUGGAAACAGAUGCUAAUACCGCAUAACAACUUGGACCGCAUGGUCCGAGCUUGAAAGAUGGCUUCGGCUAUCACUUUUGGAUGGUCCCGCGGCGUAUUAGCUAGAUGGUGGGGUAACGGCUCACCAUGGCAAUGAUACGUAGCCGACCUGAGAGGGUAAUCGGCCACAUUGGGACUGAGACACGGCCCAAACUCCUACGGGAGGCAGCAGUAGGGAAUCUUCCACAAUGGACGAAAGUCUGAUGGAGCAACGCCGCGUGAGUGAAGAAGGGUUUCGGCUCGUAAAACUCUGUUGUUAAAGAAGAACAUAUCUGAGAGUAACUGUUCAGGUAUUGACGGUAUUUAACCAGAAAGCCACGGCUAACUACGUGCCAGCAGCCGCGGUAAUACGUAGGUGGCAAGCGUUGUCCGGAUUUAUUGGGCGUAAAGCGAGCGCAGGCGGUUUUUUAAGUCUGAUGUGAAAGCCUUCGGCUCAACCGAAGAAGUGCAUCGGAAACUGGGAAACUUGAGUGCAGAAGAGGACAGUGGAACUCCAUGUGUAGCGGUGAAAUGCGUAGAUAUAUGGAAGAACACCAGUGGCGAAGGCGGCUGUCUGGUCUGUAACUGACGCUGAGGCUCGAAAGUAUGGGUAGCAAACAGGAUUAGAUACCCUGGUAGUCCAUACCGUAAACGAUGAAUGCUAAGUGUUGGAGGGUUUCCGCCCUUCAGUGCUGCAGCUAACGCAUUAAGCAUUCCGCCUGGGGAGUACGGCCGCAAGGCUGAAACUCAAAGGAAUUGACGGGGGCCCGCACAAGCGGUGGAGCAUGUGGUUUAAUUCGAAGCUACGCGAAGAACCUUACCAGGUCUUGACAUACUAUGCAAAUCUAAGAGAUUAGACGUUCCCUUCGGGGACAUGGAUACAGGUGGUGCAUGGUUGUCGUCAGCUCGUGUCGUGAGAUGUUGGGGUUAAGUCCCGCAACGAGCGCAACCCUUAUUAUCAGUUGCCAGCAUUAAGUUGGGCACUCUGGUGAGACUGCCGGUGACAAACCGGAGGAAGGUGGGGAUGACGUCAAAUCAUCAUGCCCCUUAUGACCUGGGCUACACACGUGCUACAAUGGAUGGUACAACGAGUUGCGAACUCGCGAGAGUAAGCUAAUCUCUUAAAGCCAUUCUCAGUUCGGAUUGUAGGCUGCAACUCGCCUACAUGAAGUCGGAAUCGCUAGUAAUCGCGGAUCAGCAUGCCGCGGUGAAUACGUUCCCGGGCCUUGUACACACCGCCCGUCACACCAUGAGAGUUUGUAACACCCAAAGUCGGUGG